Molecule: ribosomal RNA, 455 nt
Filed under: uncultured bacterium
Lineage: Bacteria
Description: bacterial SSU rRNA
Rfam family: Bacterial small subunit ribosomal RNA
Source: RNAcentral
UACGGGAGGCAGCAGUGGGGAAUAUUGCACAAUGGGCGCAAGCCUGAUGCAGCCAUGCCGCGUGUAUGAAGAAGGCCUUCGGGUUGUAAAGUACUUUCAGUCGUGAGGAAGGUGUUAAGGUUAAUAACCUUAGCAAUUGACGUUAGCGACAGAAGAAGCACCGGCUAACUCCGUGCCAGCAGCCGCGGUAAUACGGAGGGUGCGAGCGUUAAUCGGAAUUACUGGGCGUAAAGGGCACGCAGGCGGUUAAUUAAGUUGGAUGUGAAAUCCCCGGGCUUAACCUGGGAAUGGCAUUCAAGACUGGUUAGCUAGAGUCUUGUAGAGGGGGUAGAAUUCCAUGUGUAGCGGUGAAAUGCGUAGAGAUGUGGAGGAAUACCGGUGGCGAAGGCGGCCCCCUGGACAAAGGACUGACGCUCAUGUGCGAAAGCGUGGGGAGCAAACAGGGAUUAGAUACC